This 484-nucleotide ribosomal RNA is filed under the name uncultured bacterium. Its description in RNAcentral is "partial 16S ribosomal RNA". It matches the Rfam family "Bacterial small subunit ribosomal RNA", at positions 28 to 523 of the family's 1533-position model. The record is from RNAcentral.
GAUGAACGCUGGCGGCGUGCUUAACACAUGCAAGUCGAACGGUGAAGCAGGAGCUUGCUCUUGUGGAUCAGUGGCGAACGGGUGAGUAACACGUGAGCAACCUGCCCCUGACUCUGGGAUAAGCGCUGGAAACGGCGUCUAAUACUGGAUAUGUGAUGUGACCGCAUGGUCUGCAUCUGGAAAGAAUUUCGGUUGGGGAUGGGCUCGCGGCCUAUCAGCUUGUUGGUGAGGUAAUGGCUCACCAAGGCGUCGACGGUUAGCCGGCCUGAGAGGGUGACCGGCCACACUGGGACUGAGACACGGCCCAGACUCCUACGGGAGGCAGCAGUGGGGAAUAUUGCACAAUGGGCGGAAGCCUGAUGCGGCAACGCCGCGUGAGGGAUGACGGCCUUCGGGUUGUAAACCUCUUUUAGUAGGGAAGAAGCGAAAGUGACGGUACCUGCAGAAAAAGCACCGGCUAACUACGUGCCAGCCGCCGCGGUAA